This 1804-nucleotide unclassified non-coding RNA is filed under the name Hevea brasiliensis (rubber tree). Lineage: Eukaryota; Viridiplantae; Streptophyta; Magnoliopsida; Malpighiales; Euphorbiaceae. The record is from RNAcentral.
UUCUGUUAUCCUAAGAAUAGUGUUGAACUAUGUUGGAUUUAUUAAGCACCUGACAUGGCAUGAAAGUACUGGCAAAUGGAAGGAAUGUGUGUCAGAACCCAUUAAUCAGUGUGAUAUUUAUGGGCAUUGUGGUCCCUAUGGAAAAUGUGAUUCAAACCAUAUUAUUCAAAAAUUUGAAUGUAAUUGUUUACCUGGUUAUGAGCCCAAGUCCCCAAGAAACUGGCAUAUUCUGCGAGAUGGGUCAGAUGGGUGUGUUAGAAAGCGCCUAGACACUUCUUCAGUAUGUGGGCAUGGAGAAGGAUUUGUCAAAGUGGCAGAUGUUAAGAUUCCUGAUACUUCAGCAGCAGUUUGGGUGAACAUGAACAUGCCUCCUAUGGACUGUGAACAGGAAUGCAGGAGGAAUUGUUCGUGCUCUGCAUAUGCAAGCAUAGAUAUUGCUGGGAAAGGAACUGGUUGUUUGGCAUGGUAUGGUGAAUUAAUGGAUACCGUAGAUAAUAAGGAUGAGGGAUAUGACAUUUAUGUCCGUGUUGAUGCAAUUGAAUUAGCUGACAUUGUGCAAAAAUCAAAUGGUUCUCUUGGAAGGAAGGAUGUGUUGGCCAUUUUAGUAGUAUCAGUUGUUUCAGCUUGGUUUGUCAUCAUCUUAUUUGCAUAUUUGUGGCUCAAGAAGAAGAAGAAAAGAAGCAUGAAGAACAAAUGGAAUGAAAGAUUGCACAAUACAAAUGUUGAUGCAUACCACAAGGUUAAUAUGGUGGCAAAUGAAGUUCGAGGCAGCAUGAAUCAUCCAGACAUAGCAUUUUUUGAUUUUAAUACAAUACUUACAGCGACUAACAAUUUCUCUCCAGCUAAUAAGCUGGGACAAGGUGGUUUUGGCUUGGUUUACAAGGGUCAGCUGUCUAAUGGACAGGAGGUUGCUGUGAAACGGCUAUCCAAAAACUCAGGGCAAGGAAUAGAAGAAUUUAAAAAUUAUGUUGAUCGCAAAGCUUCAACACAAGAAUCUUGUGAAACUGCUAGGAUGUUGCAUUCAGGAAGAAGAGCUAAUGUUAAUUUAUGAAUACUUGCCAAACAAAAGCUUGGAUUCAUUACUUUUUGAUGAAACAGGGUCAACCUUGGAUUGGAGAAGACGCUUUAAUAUCAUCAUAGGGAUUGCUCGUGGAAUCUUAUAUAUGCACCAAGACUCCAGGUUACAAAUUAUCCAUAGAGAUUUAAAAACUAGCAACAUUUUAUUGGAUGCAGAAAUGAAUCCAAAAAUUUCAGAUUUUGGCCUAGCUAGAAUCUUCAAAGGCUGAAGGAGACCAAAUUCAAGGAAAGACAAACAGAAUUUUUGGAACGUUUGGCUACAUGUCCCCAGAAUACGUGGUGUUCGGAAAAUAUUCAAUAAAAUCUGAUGUCUUCAGCUUUGGAGUUAUAUUAUUAGAGAUUAUUUCAGGAAAGAAGAGCACUGGCUUUUAUCAAGAGGAUUCUAACCUAAGUUUGAUGGGGCAUAUAUGGCAAUCAUGGAGAGAAGGGAGACUACAGGAGAUAAUUGAUUCCUCCCUAAAGGAUUCAUAUCCCCGUGAUGAAGUAUUGAGAUGCAUCCAAAUUGGGCUGCUAUGUGUGCAAGAAGAUGCUUUGGACAGACCAACCAUGUCAGCAGUCGUGUUAAUGUUGAAUAGUGAAAUUGCUCUUCCUUCUCCUAAACAAGCUGCAUUCGUUUUCAGAAAGUCCAGCAAUAAUUCUUGCUUAUUAGAAGCAGAAGAACAAUUUUGUUCAGUGAAUGAGUUGACAAUUAGUGAGGUUGCAAGUCGCUGAGUAUAUUGUCUCAUAA